CUAAAUGGAAAAAUAUUUCACUACUAAUUCAAUUUCUUUAUUGGUUAAAGGACUACUCAGACUGUCUUCUCUUCUUGGUCAGUUUUUGACUCAGGUGGGAAUGCUGCAGAAGAUGCUGUGCUGUUUUCCAUGAUGACCUCAGGAAGCACCUCUGUGUUAACUCAUCCCACCCCUGGUGAUGCCACCCUCAAUCAUCUGGCAAGUUUUUACAAGAUAUCGAGUAUAGUUCCCUGUGCCAAACAGUCCUGUUGGUUGGGAAUCUUGGUCCUAGCAAUGUGUUUAUUUGGACAGAAUCCUCUCACAG
This is a long non-coding RNA of Physeter macrocephalus (sperm whale), 304 nucleotides long. RefSeq lists it as uncharacterized. The record is from RefSeq and is a predicted model, not a curated record. Lineage: Eukaryota; Metazoa; Chordata; Mammalia; Artiodactyla; Physeteridae. The transcript is spliced from 4 exons.